Molecule: ribosomal RNA, 413 nt
Filed under: uncultured microorganism
Description: bacterial SSU rRNA
Rfam family: Archaeal small subunit ribosomal RNA
Source: RNAcentral
CAGCCGCGCGGUAAUACCAGCCCCGCGAGUGGUCGGGACGAUUAUUGGGCCUAAAGCGUCCGUAGCCGGGUUGGGAAGUCCUCCGGGAAAUCUGGCCGCUUAACGGUCAGAAUGCCGGAGGAUACUCCCAGCCUAGGGAGCGGGAGAGGCCGAGGGUAUUCCCGGAGUAGGGGUGAAAUCCUAUAAUCCCGGGAGGACCACCUGUGGCGAAGGCGCUCGGCUGGAACGCGUCCGACGGUGAGGGACGAAGGCCAGGGGAGCAAACCGGAUUAGAUACCCGGGUAGUCCUGGCUGUAAACGAUGCGGACUUUGUGUCGGACAAGCUAUGAGCUUGUCCGGUGCCGGAGGGAAACCGUUAAGUCCGCCGCCUGGGGAGUACGGCCGCAAGGCUGAAACUUAAAGGAAUUGGCGGG